CCUACGGGAGGCAGCAGUGAGGAAUAUUGGUCAAUGGACGAAAGUCUGAACCAGCCAAGUAGCGUGAAGGAUGACUGCCCUAUGGGUUGUAAACUUCUUUUAUAUGGGAAUAAAACAUGGGAUGCAUACCCUCUCGUAUGUACCAUAUGAAUAAGGAUCGGCUAACUCCGUGCCAGCAGCCGCGGUAAUACGGAGGAUCCGAGCGUUAUCCGGAUUUAUUGGGUUUAAAGGGAGCGUAGGUGGACUUUUAAGUCAGUUGUGAAAGUUUGGGGCUCAACCGUAAAAUUGCAGUUGAAACUGGCAGGCUUGAGUACAGUAGAGGUGGGCGGAAUUCGUGGUGUAGCGGUGAAAUGCUUAGAUAUCACGAAGAACCCCGAUUGCGAAGGCAGCUCAC
Molecule: ribosomal RNA, 394 nt
Filed under: uncultured bacterium
Lineage: Bacteria
Description: partial 16S ribosomal RNA
Rfam family: Bacterial small subunit ribosomal RNA
Source: RNAcentral